This 823-nucleotide ribosomal RNA is filed under the name uncultured bacterium. RNAcentral's name for it is "bacterial SSU rRNA". It matches the Rfam family "Bacterial small subunit ribosomal RNA", at positions 8 to 827 of the family's 1533-position model. The record is from RNAcentral.
AGAGUUUGAUCAUGGCUCAGAUUGAACGCUGGCGGAAUGCUUUACACAUGCAAGUCGAACGGUAGAGGGGGCAACCCCUUGAGAGUGGCGAACGGGUGAGUAAUGUAUCGGAACGUGCCCAGUCGUGGGGGAUAACGUAGUGAAAAUUACGCUAAUACCGCAUACGAUCUAUGGAUGAAAGCGGGGGAUCGCAAGACCUCGCGCGAUUGGAACGGCCGAUAUCAGAUUAGGUAGUUGGUGAGGUAAAGGCUCACCAAGCCAACGAUCUGUAGCUGGUCUGAGAGGACGACCAGCCACACUGGAACUGAGACACGGUCCAGACUCCUACGGGAGGCAGCAGUGGGGAAUUUUGGACAAUGGACGCAAGUCUGAUCCAGCCAUUCCGCGUGCAGGACGAAGGCCUUCGGGUUGUAAACUGCUUUUGUACGGGACGAAAAAGCUCUUAUUAAUACUAGGAGUCCAUGACGGUACCGUAAGAAUAAGCACCGGCUAACUACGUGCCAGCAGCCGCGGUAAUACGUAGGGUGCAAGCGUUAAUCGGAAUUACUGGGCGUAAAGCGUGCGCAGGCGGUUAUAUAAGACAGAUGUGAAAUCCCCGAGCUUAACUUGGGAACUGCAUUUGUGACUGUAUAGCUAGAGUACGGCAGAGGGGGAUGGAAUUCCGCGUGUAGCAGUGAAAUGCGUAGAUAUGCGGAGGAACACCGAUGGCGAAGGCAAUCCCCUGGGCCUGUACUGACGCUCAUGCACGAAAAGCGUGGGGAGCAAACAAGGAUUAGAUACCCUUGGUAGUCCACGCCCUAAACGAUGUCAACUGGUUGUUGGG